CGGAGGGUGCGAGCGUUGUCCGGAAUCAUUGGGCGUAAAGGGCGCGUAGGUGGCGCGGUAAGCGUGCGGUGAAAGCUCGGGGCUCAACCCCGAGUCGGCCGUGCGAACUGCUGGGCUUGAGCACUGUAGAGGCAGGCGGGAAUUCCGGGUGUAGCGGUGGAAUGCGUAGAGAUCCGGAAGAACACCGGUGGCGAAGGCGGCCUGCUGGGCAGUACGCUGACACUGAGGCGCGACAGCGUGGGGAGCAAACAGGAUUAGAUACCCUGGUAGUCCACGCCGUAAACGAUGGGCACUAGGCGCUUGGGGGAGCGACCCCCGAGGGCCGGCGCUAACGCAUUAAGUGCCCCGCCUGGGGAGUACGGGCCGCAAGGCUGA
RNAcentral lists this ribosomal RNA (375 nucleotides) under uncultured organism. RNAcentral describes it as "bacterial SSU rRNA". It matches the Rfam family "Bacterial small subunit ribosomal RNA", at positions 526 to 897 of the family's 1533-position model. The record is from RNAcentral.